UACGUAGGGGGCUAGCGUUGUCCGGAAUCAUUGGGCGUAAAGAGCGUGUAGGCGGCCCGGUAAGUCCGCUGUGAAAGUCGGGGGCUCAACCCUCGAAUGCCGGUGGAUACUGUCGGGCUAGAGUGCGGAAGAGGCGAGUGGAAUUCCUGGUGUAGCGGUGAAAUGCGCAGAUAUCAGGAGGAACACCGAUUGCGAAGGCAGCCCCCUGGGCUGAGAUUGACGCUCAGGCACGAAAGCGUGGGGAGCAAACAGG
Molecule: ribosomal RNA, 253 nt
Filed under: uncultured bacterium
Lineage: Bacteria
Description: partial 16S ribosomal RNA
Rfam family: Bacterial small subunit ribosomal RNA
Source: RNAcentral